UCAAAGAUGCCAAUAUUCUCAC
RNAcentral lists this non-coding RNA (22 nucleotides) under Arabidopsis thaliana (thale cress). The record is from RNAcentral. Lineage: Eukaryota; Viridiplantae; Streptophyta; Magnoliopsida; Brassicales; Brassicaceae.